RNAcentral lists this ribosomal RNA (450 nucleotides) under uncultured bacterium. RNAcentral's name for it is "bacterial SSU rRNA". It matches the Rfam family "Bacterial small subunit ribosomal RNA", at positions 340 to 784 of the family's 1533-position model. The record is from RNAcentral.
UACGGAAGGCAGCAGGGGGAAUAUUGCACAAUGGGCGCAAGCCUGAUGCAGCCAUGCCGCGUGUAUGAAGAAGGCCUUCGGGUUGUAAAGUACUUUCAGUCGUGAGGAAGGUGUUAAGGUUAAUAACCUUAGCAAUUGACGUUAGCGACAGAAGAAGCACCGGCUAACUCCGUGCCAGCAGCCGCGGUAAUACGGAGGGUGCGAGCGUUAAUCGGAAUUACUGGGCGUAAAGGGCACGCAGGCGGUUAAUUAAGUUGGAUGUGAAAUCCCCGGGCUUAACCUGGGAAUGGCAUUCAAGACUGGUUAGCUAGAGUCUUGUAGAGGGGGUAGAAUUCCAUGUGUAGCGGUGAAAUGCGUAGAGAUGUGGAGGAAUACCGGUGGCGAAGGCGGCCCCUGGACAAAGACUGACGCUCAUGUGCGAAAGCGUGGGGAGCAAACAGGGAUUAGAUA